GAUGAACGCUGGCGGCGUGCCUAACACAUGCAAGUCGAACGGAGAUUACAGACGGAAGUUUUCGGAUGGAAGUCAGUAAUUCUUAGUGGCGGACGGGUGAGUAACGCGUGGGCAACCUGCCCUAUACAGGGGGAUAGCAGCUGGAAACGGCUGGUAAGACCGCAUAAGUCGUUCUGGUCGCAUGACCGGGACGGGAAAUGAGUAAUCAGGUAUAGGAUGGGCCCGCGUCCGAUUAGCCAGUUGGCAGGGUAAGAGCCUACCAAAGCAACGAUCGGUAGCCGGACUGAGAGGUCGGACGGCCACAUUGGGACUGAGACACGGCCCAAACUCCUACGGGAGGCAGCAGUGGGGGAUAUUGCACAAUGGAGGAAACUCUGAUGCAGCGACGCCGCGUGAGUGAAGAAGUAUUUCGGUAUGUAAAGCUCUAUCAGCAGGGAAG
This 439-nucleotide ribosomal RNA is filed under the name Catonella sp. oral taxon 164. RNAcentral's name for it is "bacterial SSU rRNA". It matches the Rfam family "Bacterial small subunit ribosomal RNA", at positions 28 to 447 of the family's 1533-position model. Lineage: Bacteria; Bacillati; Bacillota; Clostridia; Lachnospirales; Lachnospiraceae. The record is from RNAcentral.